UACACACCGCCCGUCACACCAUGGGAGCGGGUUCUGCCAGAAGUAGUUAGCCUAACCGCAAGGAGGGCGCUUACCACGGUGUGGUCAAUGACUGGGGUG
RNAcentral lists this ribosomal RNA (99 nucleotides) under uncultured bacterium. Its description in RNAcentral is "partial 16S ribosomal RNA". It matches the Rfam family "Bacterial small subunit ribosomal RNA", at positions 1384 to 1482 of the family's 1533-position model. The record is from RNAcentral.